This is an RNA transcript of Nicotiana attenuata, 2040 nucleotides long. It is a transcript of the gene named 60S ribosomal export protein NMD3 pseudogene, with no coding region annotated. The record is from RefSeq and is a predicted model, not a curated record. NCBI's taxonomy places the organism in Eukaryota, Viridiplantae, Streptophyta, Magnoliopsida, Solanales, Solanaceae. The transcript has 2 exons.
GUCCCCCCAAAACCCCAGGACUUAGGUUUUCGUUCUCAGUUCUGCUCUUUUUGCCUCUCUCAGUCUCUCUCUUCCGCCGCCUACGACCGACUUCCACAGCCAUGGCACAAGACACGGGCAUGUUUACAGUGCAUCGAACAAUUGGAAGUGUUUUAUGCUGCAAAUGUGGUAUUUCUAUGCAACCAAAUGCUGCCAAUAUGUGUGCCAACUGCUUGAGGUCUGAAGUUGACAUAACAGAAGGUCUCCAGAAGCAUGUUAUCAUAUGUCAUUGCCCUGAAUGUGAUAGCUAUUUGCAGCCUCCGAGGACUUGGCUUAAAGCCCAAUUAGAAUCAAAGGAGCUACUGACAUUCUGUGUGAAGAGGUUGAAGAAUUUGAAUAAAGUUCGUUUAGUACAUGCAGAGUUCAUUUGGACUGAACCUCACUCCAAGAGAAUCAAAGUCAAGCUGAAGGUUCAGAAAGAGGUUCUUCACGGAGCUAUCCUUGAGCAAGCCUACACUGUGGAAUAUGUUAUCCAAGACCAAAUGUGUGAUUCUUGUACGAGGGUUCAGGCUAAUCCCGACCAGUGGGUGGCUGCAGUGCAGCUGCGACAGCAUGUUUCUCACAGGCGGACGUUCUUCUAUUUGGAACAGCUUAUUCUUAAGCAUGAUGCCGCUGCUCGUGCUAUAAGGAUUAAGCAAAUGGAUCAAGGAAUUGAUAUUUUCUUCUCUAAUCGUAGUCAUGCUGUGAAAUUUGUGGAGUUUAUAGGGAAAGUGGUUCCAAUUCGGAGCCGUAAUGACAAACAACUGGUGUCUCAUGAUACCAAGAGUAGCAUUUACAACUAUAAGUAUACUUUUUCAGUUGAAAUUUGCCCAGUUUGCCGUGAGGAUUUGAUUUGUCUUCCGCCAAAAGUUAAAGAUGGUUUGGGGAAUCUUGGGCCACUUGUGAUCUGCACCAAGGUGAGUAAUAACAUUGCUUUACUUGACCCAUUUACUCUCAGGAACUGUUUUCUGGACGCGGAACAGUAUUGGAGGGCGUCUUUUAAGUCCCUACUUUCGAGUAGGCAGCUUGUGGAAUAUAUAGUUCUAGAUGUUGAGAGUGUUUCUUCUGAGGUCAAUAUUGGUGGAUCUAAGUACGCUUUGGCAGAUGCCCAAGUAGCUCGUGUAUCUGAUUUUGGCAAGAAUGAUACAAUUUUCUAUGUACGAACACAUCUGGGGCAUCUUCUUAAUCCUGGGGAUUAUGCACUUGGGUAUGACUUAUAUGCUGCUAAUAGUAAUGAUAAUGAGCUGGACAAGUAUAAAGGUUUUGUUCUCCCAGAUGUGAUACUGGUUAAGAAAAGCUAUGAAGAGAAAUGGCAGAAGAAGCGUGGGAAGCCUCGUUUAUGGAAACUGAAAUCUCUAAAUAUGGAGAUUGAUGACAAUGUAAAGGGUAGAGACCAUGAAGAGAAGAUGAGCUCUGAGUAUGAACAAUUCUUAAGAGAUUUAGAGGAGAAUCCUGAUUUGAGGUUCAACAUAUCUCUUUAUCGCAACAGGGAGUAUCAGCCAUCAGAAAUGGCAUCUGUGACUGAUGGGGAUGAUGCCCCUACUGUCGCAUUGGAGGAAUUGUUGGCUGAUCUUGAUUUAAGUGAAGAGGAAGCUGACAAUGAUAGCAUGAGGGAGUGAGUGGAAUACUUGAACCUGCACGUGGUUUAUUGGAUGCUAAAAUCUCUGAUGAAUUUCGUAAAGCUCAUGGAAUCAGUUUUGUUUAAAGCAAUUAGGUCCGGAGUCUGUUAGAUGUGAUUUUGCUCCCUCAUGUUUCUUACUGUUAUUCACCUUGAAUGCAGACUACAUAAAUACGGUGAUGGCAAUAUCUCUACUUCAGGACACAACCAUCUUUUCCCGAGUAGAAGUGAAGAGACUGUUUCUCAGAGGAAGGAGUGCAUUUUGAAAGGUUCAGUUAGAUUGGCAGACGGAAAACCAAGUUGGAACAAACGAUACUUUAAAAUUUUCGUUUCUUUUAUGGUGUGGAUCUAUUGCAUGUUUAAUUAUUUGUUCAAUAGUUUAUUUAAGUGUUUUCCUAUCAACU